This 459-nucleotide ribosomal RNA is filed under the name uncultured bacterium. RNAcentral describes it as "bacterial SSU rRNA". It matches the Rfam family "Bacterial small subunit ribosomal RNA", at positions 329 to 803 of the family's 1533-position model. The record is from RNAcentral.
UGGCUAACUCCUACGGGAGGCAGCAGUGGGGAAUUUUACGCAAUGGGGGAAACCCUGACGUAGCGACACCGCGUGAGCGAAGAAGCCCUUUGGGGUGUAAAGCUCUGUCAGCUGGAACGAAAACAAUGACGGUACCAGCAGAGGAAGCAUCGGCUAACUACGUGCCAGCAGCCGCGGUAAGACGUAGGAUGCGAGCGUUGUCCGGAUUUAUUGGGCGUUAAGAGUUCGUAGGUGGUUUGUUAAGUUUGGUGUUAAAGAUCGGGGCUCAACCCUGGGACUGCACUGAAUACUGGCAGACUCGAGUGUGGGAGAGGCUAGUGGAAUUCCCGGUGUAGCGGUGAAAUGCGUAGAUAUUGGGAAGAACACCGGUGGCGUAGGCGACUAGCUGGGCCAUAACUGACGCUGAGGAACGAAAGCCAGGGGAGCGAAUGGGAUUAGAAACCCUGGUAGUCCAGCUGG